This 377-nucleotide ribosomal RNA is filed under the name uncultured eukaryote. RNAcentral describes it as "partial 18S ribosomal RNA". It matches the Rfam family "Eukaryotic small subunit ribosomal RNA", at positions 592 to 976 of the family's 1831-position model. The record is from RNAcentral.
CAAUAGCGUAUAUUUAAGUUGCUGCAGUUAAAAAGCUCGUAGUUGGAUUUCGGGUGGGAAUGGCCGGUCCGCCGUUUCGGUGUGCACUUGCUACGCCCACCUUGCUGCCGGGGACGUGCUCUUGAGUUCACGCUCGGGACACGGAGUCGGCGAGGUUACUUUGAGUAAAUUAGAGUGUUCAAAGCGGGCCUACGCUCUGAAUACAUUAGCAUGGAAUAACACGAUAGGACUCUGGCCUAUCUUGUUGGUCUGUAGGACCGGAGUAAUGAUUAAGAGGGACAGUCGGGGGCAUUCGUAUUUCAUUGUCAGAGGUGAAAUUCUUGGAUUUAUGAAAGACGAACUACUGCGAAAGCAUUUGCCAAGGAUGUUUUCAUUAA